GACGAACGCUGGCGGCGGGCUUAACACAUGCAAGUCGAACGAACGCCUUCGGGCGUUAGUGGCGCACGGGUGAGUAACACGUAGGCAAUCUACCCUCGGCUGGGGAAUAACCAGGGGAAACCCUGGCUAAUACCGCAUAACAUCUGGACGUCGCCUGGCGACCAGAUCAAAGCUUUAUGUGGCCGAGGAUGAGCCUGCGUCGGAUUAGCUAGUUGGUGGGGUAACGGCCUACCAAGGCGACGAUCCGUAGCGGGUCUGAGAGGAUGAUCCGCCACACUGGCACUGAGACACGGGCCAGACUCCUACGGGAGGCAGCAGUGAGGAAUAUUGCGCAAUGGACGAAAGUCUGACGCA
Molecule: ribosomal RNA, 354 nt
Filed under: uncultured bacterium
Lineage: Bacteria
Description: bacterial SSU rRNA
Rfam family: Bacterial small subunit ribosomal RNA
Source: RNAcentral